GAUGAACGCUGGCGGCGUGCUUAACACAUGCAAGUCGAACGGAAAGGCCCAAGCUUGCUUGGGUACUCGAGUGGCGAACGGGUGAGUAACACGUGGGUGAUCUGCCCUGCACUUCGGGAUAAGCCUGGGAAACUGGGUCUAAUACCGGAUAGGACCACUUCUUGGAUGUUGUGGUGGAAAGUUUUUUCGGUGUGGGAUGAGCUCGCGGCCUAUCAGCUUGUUGGUGGGGUAAUGGCCUACCAAGGCGUCGACGGGUAGCCGGCCUGAGAGGGUGUACGGCCACAUUGGGACUGAGAUACGGCCCAGACUCCUACGGGAGGCAGCAGUGGGGAAUAUUGCACAAUGGGCGCAAGCCUGAUGCAGCGACGCCGCGUGGGGGAGGACGGCCUUCGGGUUGUAAACUCCUUUCGCUAGGGACGAAGCGUUUUGUGACGGCACCUGGAGAAGAAGCACCGGCUAACUACGUG
This 467-nucleotide ribosomal RNA is filed under the name uncultured bacterium. RNAcentral's name for it is "partial 16S ribosomal RNA". It matches the Rfam family "Bacterial small subunit ribosomal RNA", at positions 28 to 507 of the family's 1533-position model. The record is from RNAcentral.